This 654-nucleotide long non-coding RNA is filed under the name Elaeis guineensis (African oil palm). RNAcentral's name for it is "long non-coding RNA (EGUI_LNC040914)". The record is from RNAcentral. Lineage: Eukaryota; Viridiplantae; Streptophyta; Magnoliopsida; Arecales; Arecaceae.
CAAUUAGGUUGUAUCUCGAUCCUAUAUAUAUUAUUCUAUAAGGUAUCCCAAAGAAUCUUGGGGAUAUAACUUCUAUCUUGCUAAAGAAUAAAAGUUGUUCGAUAUUUCUUUCAGAAAAAGAGUACCUUGGUGAAGGUACAGAUACUUUUAAUAUAGAACUUAUGAAGUUUGACAGAUAGAAGAACCAACACAAUCUGAUAAAUCCAUAGAAUCAGAUUUGAUUAGAUCAAACCUGAAAUCCAUUGUAGAGGCACCAUUAAGGAGAUCCGAUAGAGUAUCGCAUCCGUCGAACAGAUACUUUGGUAUCUAGAUUUUGAAAUCUGAUCCUAUUGAACUUGAUGAGAACAACAAAGAUUUGAUCACCUACAUCGAUGUCAUGCAGAGGUUCGACUUCGAUUAGUGGCUUGGAGCCAUAGGUCCGAAAUGGAGUCCAUGAAGGUCAACAGUGUAUGGACACUCGUUGAUCCACUUGAAGGGAUAAAAUCUAUAGAGUGUAGGUGCAACGCCAAUAGGAUUAGAGUAACACAGACGAGAAGGUGGAAUGUAGAACUUAUGAAGUUCGACAGAUAGAAGAACUAACACAAUCUGGUAAAUCCAUAGAACCAGAUUUGAUUAGAUCAAACCUGGAAUCCAUUGUAGAGGCACCAUUAAGGA